UACGGGGGGGGCAAGCGUUGUUCGGAAUUACUGGGCGUAAAGGGCUCGUAGGUGGCCAACUAAGUCGGACGUGAAAUCCCUCGGCUUAACCGGGGAACUGCGUCUGAUACUGGAUGGCUUGAAUCCGGGAGAGGGAUGCGGAAUUCCAGGUGUAGCGGUGAAAUGCGUAGAUAUCUGGAGGAACACCGGUGGCGAAGGCGGCAUCCUGGACCGGCAUUGACGCUGAGGAGCGAAAGCCAGGGGAGCAAACGGG
This 253-nucleotide ribosomal RNA is filed under the name uncultured bacterium. Its description in RNAcentral is "partial 16S ribosomal RNA". It matches the Rfam family "Bacterial small subunit ribosomal RNA", at positions 524 to 776 of the family's 1533-position model. The record is from RNAcentral.